RNAcentral lists this non-coding RNA (131 nucleotides) under Desulfosporosinus youngiae. RNAcentral's name for it is "SAM-I sequence". It matches the Rfam family "SAM riboswitch aptamer (S box leader)". Rfam says of the family: The SAM riboswitch is found upstream of a number of genes which code for proteins involved in methionine or cysteine biosynthesis in Gram-positive bacteria. The SAM riboswitch acts at the level of transcription termination control. Lineage: Bacteria; Bacillati; Bacillota; Clostridia; Eubacteriales; Desulfitobacteriaceae. The record is from RNAcentral. RNAcentral also lists the same sequence under 1 other name.
CUCUUAUCCGGAGUGGUGGAGGGACUAGCCCUAUGAAGCCCGGCAACCAGCUUUUAAACUACGACAUGUCCAUGGUGUGGACGAAGCAUGGUGCUAAUUCUUGCAGGAGAGAUUUUCCUGGCAGAUAAGAG